Molecule: long non-coding RNA, 1288 nt
Organism: Clupea harengus (Atlantic herring)
Lineage: Eukaryota; Metazoa; Chordata; Actinopteri; Clupeiformes; Clupeidae
Source: Ensembl
CACGCACACACACAGACACACGCACACACACAGACACACACACAAACACACAGACACACGUUCAUUCUCUCUGUCUCUGUUUGUGUGAGCGUUUGAUUUGGUCUAUGUUGCACACAUACACACACACACACAUACACACACACACACACACACACACACACACACACACACACACAGAGAGACAGACACAAACCUGAUCACUCUCUCUGUCUCUCUCACACACUCAUUACACAUGUAGAUACAUAGGCCUCUAUUCACACACACACACACACACACACACGAUCACUCUCUCUGUCUCUGUUUGUGUGAGCGUUUGAUUUGGUUGAGGUUGUACCAGCAUAAUGAUUUUAUUUAUAUAGCACAAUAAAAUUGUCUCAAGGAAUAUAAUUAAAAUCUAUUCAAGUACCCACAAUCUCAGUAGACAGUAUUGGAGACAAAGAAUUUGCCAUAGAUGAUAUUCAGGCGUUUCUAAUGAUUUUAUUAGAUUUCUUUAUUAGUCUACGUUACAAAUUUGUGACUGACCGAUAGUGAAUGGUGCUUAUCUCCUGGUAAUUGGGCUGUAAGUUAUUCCCAGAGAUAUCAUUCUCAUUUAUUUGUUUGCUGUUCAAAGUUCAAUACACUUUAUUUUACCACUUUGUCACUUUACAGUCUUAUAUCUCAUUUGGCUUAUGUCCACUUCUCAGGUAUUUGCAUUUGCAUAGCUGUUAGCAUUGUUAGCAUUGUUAGCUAUGUUUGUUUAUUUAGUUCUGUUAGCAUUGUUAGCUAUGUUUGUUUAUUUAGUUCUGUUAGCAUUGUUAGCAUUGUUAGCUAUGUUUAUUUAUUUAGUUCUGUUAGCAUUGUUAGCAUUGUUAGCUAUGUUUGUUUAUUUCGUUCUGUUAGCAUUGUUAGCUAUGUUUGUUUAUUUAGCAUUGUUAGCAUUGUUAGCUAUGUUUAUUUAUUUAGUUCUCAGUUACAUGUGUGCACUCCUGUGAGCUGGGAUGUUGGCUGUGUUAGUUACUAGCCUGAUGGUCAAUAAGUAAGUAAUACAUUCGUCAUUAAUGAAUAAAAUAAUUAAUAAAUCGCUAGAAAAAAAAUUGUUCUUUGUCCACCAACACUCACUUUAGCAUAUUCAUGAACCAAAAACCAUCACCAGGCUGAUUUUCCAUAAGAGACAAACACACACACACACACACACACACACACACAGACAGACAGACACACAGACACACACACAAACACAGACAGACACGCACACACACAGACACACGCACACACACAGACACACACACAAACACACAGACACACACAC